GGAGGUGGCAAGCGUUGUUCGGAAUUACUGGGCGUAAAGGGCGCGCAGGCGGUUUGCCAAGUCUCGUGUGAAAUCCCCCGGCUCAACUGGGGAACUGCGCGGGAUACUAGUGGACUUGAGUUCGGGAGAGGAAAGCGGAAUUCCGGGUGUAGCGGUGAAAUGCGCAGAUAUCCGGAGGAACACCAGUGGCGAAGGCGGCUUUCUGGACCGACACUGACGCUGAGGCGCGAAAGCUAGGGGAGCGAACGGGAUUAGAUACCCCGGGUAGUCCUAGCCCUAAACGAUGAGCACUGGGUGUAGGGGGUAUGAACCCCCCCCCCCUGUGCCGAAGCUAACGCAUUAAGUGCUCCGCCUGGGGAGUACGGUCGCAAGGCUG
RNAcentral lists this ribosomal RNA (376 nucleotides) under uncultured organism. Its description in RNAcentral is "partial 16S ribosomal RNA". It matches the Rfam family "Bacterial small subunit ribosomal RNA", at positions 527 to 896 of the family's 1533-position model. The record is from RNAcentral.